UACGAAGGGGGCUAGCGUUGCUCGGAAUCACUGGGCGUAAAGCGCACGUAGGCGGAUCUUUAAGUCAGGGGUGAAAUCCUGGAGCUCAACUCCAGAACUGCCUUUGAUACUGGGGAUCUCGAGUCCGGGAGAGGUGAGUGGAACUCCGAGUGUAGAGGUGAAAUUCGUAGAUAUUCGGAAGAACACCAGUGGCGAAGGCGGCUCACUGGCCCGGUACUGACGCUGAGGUGCGAAAGCGUGGGGUGCAAACAGG
RNAcentral lists this ribosomal RNA (253 nucleotides) under uncultured bacterium. RNAcentral describes it as "partial 16S ribosomal RNA". It matches the Rfam family "Bacterial small subunit ribosomal RNA", at positions 524 to 776 of the family's 1533-position model. The record is from RNAcentral.